RNAcentral lists this ribosomal RNA (497 nucleotides) under uncultured bacterium. Its description in RNAcentral is "partial 16S ribosomal RNA". It matches the Rfam family "Bacterial small subunit ribosomal RNA", at positions 28 to 507 of the family's 1533-position model. The record is from RNAcentral.
GAUGAACGCUGGCGGCGUGCCUAAUACAUGCAAGUCGAGCGAACGGACGAGAAGCUUGCUUCUCUGAUGUUAGCGGCGGACGGGUGAGUAACACGUGGAUAACCUACCUAUAAGACUGGGAUAACUUCGGGAAACCGGAGCUAAUACCGGAUAAUAUUUUGAACCGCAUGGUUCAAAAGUGAAAGACGGUCUUGCUGUCACUUAUAGAUGGAUCCGCGCUGCAUUAGCUAGUUGGUAAGGUAACGGCUUACCAAGGCAACGAUGCAUAGCCGACCUGCGAGGGUGAUCGGCCACACUGGAACUUAGACACGGUCCAGACUCCUACGGGAGGCAGCAGUAGGGAAUCUUCCGCAAUGGGCGAAAGCCUGACGGAGCAACGCCGCGUGAGUGAUGAAGGUCUUCGGAUCGUAAAACUCUGUUAUUAGGGAAGAACAUAUGUGUAAGUAACUGUGCACAUCUUGACGGUACCUAAUCAGAAAGCCACGGCUAACUACGUG